RNAcentral lists this unclassified non-coding RNA (599 nucleotides) under Gibbsiella quercinecans. Its description in RNAcentral is "partial may contain 16S ribosomal RNA, 16S-23S ribosomal RNA intergenic spacer, and 23S ribosomal RNA". The stretch from base 366 to 467 matches the Rfam family "Salmonella enterica Typhi npcRNA 44". The record is from RNAcentral. Lineage: Bacteria; Pseudomonadati; Pseudomonadota; Gammaproteobacteria; Enterobacterales; Yersiniaceae.
CGGGGGGCCGAGGUGGGACCCUCCUUACCGAACGAUAUUUGAAUGUGCAGUGUCCACACAGAUUGUCUGAUGAAAAAUAAUGAGCAUGAAAACCCUUUCGUUGAAAGGCGGACGGGCUGAUGAGUCGUUAACCCUUCGACCGCUUGAAUUUGCCAGCAAAUUCGCGCCUUUACACCGAAAUAGCAAAUCAGUGAUUUGUUACGCAAUUUCCGUGUCCCCAUCGUCUAUAGGCCUAGGACACUGCCCUUUCACGGCUGUAUCAGGGGUUCUAAUCCCCUUGGGGACACCAUUCCGAUAAUGAGUGAAAGACUUUAUCACCGAAUAUCUUAAAUAUGACUUUAACGAGUCGUGUUAAAGAUAUUGCUCUUUAACGUUAUGGAACAAGCUGAAAAUUGAAAUGAUGAAUAGUUGAAAAAUUAUUCACGAGGCUCUCAAAAGCGCACAGCCGAUGAUGGAAACACCUUCGGGUUGUGAGGUUAAGAGACUAAUUGUACACGGUGGAGGCCUUGGCAUAAACUUUCCAAAAAUAAACCUUUUUCGGUUUUUCCCUUUUCAUCUCCUUCGUUUUUGUUUUUUUUCCUUCCCUUUUCUUUUUCUUG